This 433-nucleotide ribosomal RNA is filed under the name uncultured bacterium. RNAcentral describes it as "partial 16S ribosomal RNA". It matches the Rfam family "Bacterial small subunit ribosomal RNA", at positions 29 to 507 of the family's 1533-position model. The record is from RNAcentral.
AACGAACGCUGGCGGCAUGCCUAACACAUGCAAGUCGAACGAGACCUUCGGGUCUAGUGGCGCACGGGUGCGUAACGCGUGGGAACCUGCCCUUAGGUUCGGAAUAACUCCCCGAAAGGGGUGCUAAUACCGGAUAAUGUCUUCGGACCAAAGAUUUAUCGCCUUUGGAUGGGCCCGCGUUGGAUUAGCUAGUUGGUAGGGUAAAAGCCUACCAAGGCGACGAUCCAUAGCUGGUCUGAGAGGAUGAUCAGCCACACUGGGGCUGGGACACGGCCCAGACUCCUGCGGGAGGCAGCAGUGGGGAAUAUUGGACAGUGGGCGAAAGCCUGAUCCAGCACUGCCGCGUGAGUGAUGAAGGCCUUAGGGUUGUAAAUCUCUUUUACCCGGGAUGAUAAUGACAGUACCGGGAGAAUAAGCACCGGCUAACUCCGUG